UCAUGAGUAGAGUGUCACAGAAAAGAUGAUAAAAAAUUUUUCCAACAAUAUAUUAAAUUAUUUUUUUCUAAAGGCUAAUGGGGCAUGGAGGAGGAAUGAAAAUAAUUACAAAAGGCUGUAGUGUUUGAUUCUUUUCAAAUAGUCUUCUAAUACAUCUCUGUUUUAAUCAAUACUUUCUUUUCUUUAGUUUUCAACAGCUUGCAUCUUAUUAUUGUCACUUUGGUUUUUCUUGCAAUCAUUUACUCCAAAGCCCCAAGUAUUCAGGCUGGAAUCUCAUCCAUUUACUUUAGAUACCUCACUGAGGCAUCAUUAUCUCAAUGAAAUUUUAGGUGCUUAGCCCUGGAAGGGACAAGAGGAGCAAUCUAAUUCCUCAGCUUUGCUGUAUGGGCAGAGGACACAAAGAGAGGCACUUCUGAAGACCUGCAGAAAAUGACAGCUUUCUUUGAGGCACUUAGAGUGCCUCCUUCUUUCUACUGUCUGCAACUGAACUCCCAGUGCCAGUGGGCAAAGCCAGCCUGCAGCUAGAGCACUGAUGUCCUCUUGGAAACUCAUCUGAAACAUUCCUACCACUCCAUCAACACAGGAUCCAGCCUCUUUAUCCCUACUGCAGGACUGACGUUCAUGAGAUCACAGUGCUUCUGCCCACAUUUUGCAUAAAGAUGCAAAAACUUGUAAGAAAGGAAGUGGGUGAUGUUUUUAGAACCUAAUUAAGCCCCGAGCUCCAACUUCCCAUCAGAAUGGCAUAACCAGCAACCAUUGGGUAUGUGGAUGGUAGGUGCUGCAGCUGAGUGCCCGUGCAGCCUGGAACACGAGGCACAGGGCCACAUCAGAGAAGACAAAAGCAAACCCAAGGUUGGCCUAGCAGCCCAGAUGCUCUCUGGUGCAGGGUGGAGAGUUACAAGGUUAUGUUUUGCUUUUCUUGUCUGCUGUAUGACACAUCUUUUCCACAUGAUCUAUCUGAUCUGAAAAGCCUGAAGCAUGAGUAGUUUGGUCUGGUUUGCAUUCCACUUCCCUCACAUGCCUUCUCCAUAUCAGGUAAGUUCUGAGCAUCCCCCCUGCCUCUCAGUCAAGACUCAGAGGCCAAAGAUUUAGAAGAAGGUAUGAAGAAAAAAAGCAAUAACAAAAAUAAAAAUAUUUUUAAAAAAAUCUCCAAACAUGUUUACCCACAAAACCUGCAUGGAGACAUAAGGCAGGUGAGCUGCUAACAAAAAUACAUAAGCUUUUCUUAAAAACUUCUAUCAUAAAACACUUAAAAUACUACAUAUAUUUAGAAUUGAGCAGGGUUAUUAACAGGCUUCACACUGUACAUGGCAACUUGACUUGCCUGAAAGAAGAAGUCAUAUGGAAAUUCUAGAUGUAACCAGCAUAAUUUCAGCAGUGGAAAUCAGUUCUUAUGUAAUUCCUGAAUUUAUUGGAAAAUGUCUGUAAGUAGAUUAACUGAUUGAUUAACAUACAUGAAGUUUCAAAACCACUUUGACAAAAUCCUGUGCAAAAGGGAUGAUAAGCACACAGGGGAUAAGAACCAGCAUAUAUGUAGAACAGAAGAAUAGAAACAAAACCCUGCAGAGAGUGAAACAACGGAAUUGAUUUUCGUCAGAAAAUCACAGCAAAAGAAGAACAGGGUGUCAAGGUUCCAUUGAAUAUCCAACUCUGGCUAAUACAUUCCUUAAUGCCUCAGAUAGGGUAAGGGAAAAGCUGUUGCAUUAUAAUGGCAUGGUGUUUCUGUUAGUCAGGACAGGAGAGGAGCAGAGGAAUUUCAGACAUUUAAACAAGCAGAGUGUUCUGGCAAUAUUCCAAGACCAAGAAAAUAAUUCUAUUAAAUAGAAAAAAGAUUAAUUAUGCCCACUAUAGAAAUGGCUUUGUUGACAGUUCAUUUGUGUUAAAAAAUAUCCAGUGUCAAUAAUUGCCAUGUGAUUAUUUCAGUGUUUGUAUAGGGAUGUCUGCAAGCACUUGUGGAAUUCCCUAAGUAACACUGCCCAACCCAUAGCUAAGAGUAUUUUGUUAGGGUUCAGCAAAUGGACAGAAAGGUUAUUAUGCUGCAAAGCAAGAGUUUUCCAUGACACCCAGGUCUGCCAUGUGUCUUUGAUCUCUUCCUUAGCAAUACUGUAAGACAAACACAUCUUUCAUCAAAAGUGUGCCUAGCACCAUUCUAAUAUGAAGGAAAUAAUAAAGCAGAAUCACCACUCAAAAACUGGCCAUUGUGAGCUGAUCUGCACCUGUAUUUUUGUUGCAUCUGCUUGCAAAAAUACUUGAAUGCCACAUAAAAUAGUAUUGCUCAAGGCAAGGUUUGUGGGGAGAACGUAGCAGACCAGCUUUCAGGUACAUGUAAUCCUGCCCAUCCCGUUACCCAAACAGGACUAUCACAGCACUGCUACUGUUGGUAUUGAAGGUUUGAAAGCAGAGUGCACUGGUCUCAUCUGUGCUGCUUGUGGGCACUUCCCUGAAGACUACACUCACUGCUGUUGCAGCUGGUCAGUCAGCUUCAGGAAGCAGUGGGAUUGAAUCCUUUGAGGACAUGAGAGUCUUGGUUUUGGUCAUAUCAGCUAUAGAUAAGCAGGUGACUCCAUGCCACAAAGCAAGGUGUCCUCCCACUGAUAAUAGAUGGGUGACCAGGUCAAGGAAGCUGAGAGAUGGAGUUUGAAUGUCAAGAUCUUCAGAGUUGGACAGAAUUAGCCAAAGAGGCAAGGACUGUGCUCCAUGCACAUGCAUGUGAGGUUGGGGCUGUGACUGAUGUUUUAGACAGUCAGUGGAGGCACCUGCUGCUGCCAGAAUAGGGCAAUUCUUACCUUUUGUGAGUUUUUCAUACAGCUUGAAGUUACCCCAGUCUGUCUAUGUGUGCCUCACUUCAGUAUGAAGAUACUUUUCCAUGUGUAUUCCUGUUUCAACAAUUGACUUCAACAAUUGACAAUUGAUUUCUUAGAUUGUAUUCUUACAUGUUGUCUUUAGGACCCACACUGCUUUUGCAUUUGGCUCCUUGGGGACAGAUUCUGACCCCAGUGCUCCCCCAAGAAGGGGAAAAGCAUCUCUUGUUUCUGUUGAUGUUUUUAAAGACUGACUGGGUGUUUCCAUCUGCCUGUCUCUAAGACAGUGGCAUAUGAGAGAGCAAAUGCAGUGAUGGGUAAAGAGAUGUGUAAAACAAGCUGGAGGGAAGAUCAGGCCAAAACAUGAUGCAAAGGAAGACAUGCAGGUGACAGAAGAUAGGAACUGUGAGAAAGCAUAGAGGUUGGUUCACUUUGGUUUAACUUUGCUAAAAAAUGUUCCAGCUCACUGCUGACUGAGAUCAUGUCAUGCAGUGGGAAGGAUGAAGAUGGGCAGCCUUCUGAUCCAUAGGGUGAGGAUGUUUGAAAGCAAGUGGAGCUGAAAAGCCUGGUGCAGUAAAAUCAUCUAUCUUGUAGCAGUGGUGGGGUGAGGGGCAGCUGCCCCUCCCUGACCCCUGGCAGAGGUAUGCUGAGAGAUGAAAACACAAACAUGUCCCGAGCUGCGACAUGUGCAGGGCCCGAUGUUAUCUUUCUCCCUUCUAUAUCAAAUACACUGGGGGUUAUUGAGAGUAGGAAAUGGUCUGGCAGUUCUUUAAGCCCACUUUCCCCUUCUUUUUAUCCCUUCCCUCUGGCACAGAGGCUUUGCACUUCUCUUUGUCAAUGGGUCCUGUCUCCCUAAUCUCCCUAGACACUUAUUACUGCUGCGGCUUGUUCCUCUAACCCUUUCAGCAAUCUCUGCACUGUUACUUCUUGUCCUGGGACAGCCAAUGCUCUCUCCCAUUUUUCCCAAUUCCAUCUCACUUUACUUUCUAAUCACCCAGACAAACCUGUCUCUCUAUCUGCCUGCAAUCACUGGAUUCUCUGUUCUCUUGAUCACACCUGCCUGUCAGUUGUCCAAAAAGAUUACAUAUGCCUUGAAUUUUCCACUUUAAUAACUGAAUGAUUGCAGUGUUAUAUAACUUGUUUAUGUUUGGCUCGUGCAGUGCUGGUUUGGGCUUCGGCUAUUCUAUAGCAUUACAUUAAUUUACCAAACACAGAGGAACUGUGUGAAAAGCUCACAUGGCCAAGAAAUUACAGACUCAACAUUUUAAAUUUGAAGGGAAAAGUUAAACAAAAGAAUAAAUAACUCCUGCUAUUCUUGAGGACAAAUUCACAUAUGGCAUAGACAAGGUAAGAGGAGACAUUUGAUGGCUGAGGAGACAUUUCUCAUUCCUUGUCCUUGGGAUGAUCCAAGUCUCGGUAAACACUGAGCUUUAUUUUUUAUUCUUCAUCUCAUUUUUCUCAGCAUAAAAGCAAAUCAAAGUGUGAUCAAUGCUGAAUUGCCUUAAGAACAACUGCAGAGAAGAUUCAGCAGGGUUUACACCUUGCACUUUCUCCAAUAUUUGUCUGUGAGGAAGUGCCAAAUGUUCCAGAAUUGUAGUUUGACCCCCUAGAAUGUAUGUCCUAGAAAUUAUCAAAGAAAAUUCAUUCUGCUUAUAAAAAUAAUUUAAAGGAUGGAAAAAGCCAAAGGCUCAUCCUGACAGCUGUUAAGAACACAUUUUCAGUUUUGAUUGAUCACUGGAACAUGCUCCCCAGGGAAGUAGUCAUGGCAUCAAGCCUGCCAGAGUUCAGGGAGCAUGUGGACAAUGCUCUUAGUCACAUGGUUUAUUUUUGGGCAGUCCUGCGAGGAGCAGGGACCUGCAAUCAAUAAUACUUUCAGGCCCUUCCAACUUGAAAUAUUUUAUGAUUCUAUGUCUGAUUCCAAUUUUAUAUAUGAUAUUAGUCUUCAUAUUUUUUAGAGGUCAUAAACUAUUUUGAUUAUAUGUAAUCCAUUACUUAUGAUAAUUUAAUUUUAAAGUCUAUUAAGAUGGCAGUUUAAUUCAACAUCAUCAUCACAUCUCAGUCUGCUGAGACAGUACAGAAUGAAACAUUGGCCAUUUUUUAAAAUCUCUCACUAGAUAUUCUCAAAUAUGUAACCAAGUGGGUAAUUCUUAGUCCUCUGGCUUCCCUAAGAGCUGAAAUUGCUUGAGCCUGAUAGAUGAAAUUCAGAUUCCCAUGAAGUGCACUUGUUAGAAAUGAUGCAUUUCAGAUUCUGGAUUAGUCUUGGUUUCAUAUUACUUUCUAAUCUGCUGCUGUUUCAGUAAUAUCAGCCAUUUACAUUCAGUAUUUAAUGACAAUAAGCCUAACCUAAAGGACUCAGCUAUUGCUGCUUGUAUAUAUGUUAAAUUCUUAGUGUCUGAGUUUGGGGAUUUUUUAUGUGUGUUUGUACGUUUAAAAGCAUGUAUUUAAGUACCACCAUUGUAUUAUAAAAUGACAUGGGUAUUUUACAUGUAUAAGAAGCUUUUAAAACAGUUUUACAACAAGAAUUUUUUCAUCAAGUAAAAGGCCUUAAUCCAAACCAACCAACAAUUAAAGAGAUGACUUGCAAUCUAUAAACCUACUUCUUAAAACCAGGCUAUUUGUUUUCUAGAAACUUGCAAAAAUACCAUCACCCAGUCAGAACUGUCACUCUAACUGUUAAUUGAUAAGUAUAGGAUAAGCUGCUUUAGCAAUACAGAGCAUUUUAUUCCAUAAUCCCAGCUAGAAGAUGUUUUCCCUACCCCCUGACUUCACUUCAAAGCAGAUUUAUCUGAAGUCUAGAUUACUAAAGUGAGUUUAGACUACUUUAGUAAUAAAAAAAUGUAUAUACAUAUACAUUGUAAAUUAUGUGCACAUUUAUGCGUACAGAGAGUAAAAUAACAUUUUCAAAUUGUAUUAAGCCUGUGGAAGGUGGAUGGCAUUUUCUGUACCCAGGAGUGAAUAGAGAAGUGUUUAAAGGUGUUGGUUUAUGCUGAAACUUCUUUACUCAAAAGAGUAGGGAUUUUUGUAUAUAAAUCACAUUACAGCAUUGUUACUACUUUGAAUGAAGGAGUUGUAUUGGUUAUAACACUGACUAGCUACAAAAAAACUAGUGAUGGAGUCCAAAUUCUCCUGAUAGUCAUAUAGUGAAGAUGCAAGCCAUAGCAAACAAGUUUUUAUCCAUCAAAAGUAUAACUCCAGAAGCCUUUACUACUGUUUCAGAUUAAAGCAGAAGCAACAAAAACCAUACCUUAUGUACAGGAUGAAUGGCUUUAUGCUCAUAGUUUCAAUAGCUGGGUUUCUAAUUGCAAAACCAAGGGGGUUUCCUGCAACUUGCAUGUUGGGUCUUGCACCUAUUUCACUUCUGGCCAGCUUGCCUUUUAUUGGGGUUUUGCUUCUUAAUUAUGAGACUAUUAACAGCCAAUUCACUAUGUUUUAGUUGGUUUAUUAGGUUGUUUUUGAUUUUUUUCUCAAGGAGAAGCCAAAAUUUCAUAUCUGGCUUCCCUUGCUUUUUGUUUGUCAUGACAUCAAUUACGCCCUUGUUUUGCAACAAACUGUUUACAAUAUGUCAUUAAUAGCAGUCAAGGAUCUGGUUCUGUCUUUCUUGUUGUUGAACUGAUAGGGAGAGUAUGAAGUGAACUGCUUCAUCAAAAUACAGUUUUUUUACAGAAAAGUGCACAAAUUUGCCCGUAAUCAGACUCAAAAAAAUGGCCUCUUUUUUACCUGCAAGUUGAUUUUUUUUCUCUAUUUAAUUAUUAACUGUUCCUGCUGCUAACCAAAAAAGUUAGUUUAAAUCAUGAUAUUAUGAAAAAAAAUUUUACUCAACUUCAGAAAUGCACAUGGAAGAAUGCAUGAUCUGCAGUUCAGGGACAGGAUCAGGCACUGAAGAGCCACACUGGAUGAGAUGGAAAAUCAGCACAGAUUUGUAUAUAUCUGUUACAGCAGCCUGGAUCAGGUAUCUCAGAGGAAGUUUAAAAUCUUCUCAGCAAACAACCUCCAACGUGAGGGAAUUCACAAUUCAACACAAUCUGUCAACUUCUUUUUAGACAUCCCCUGUUCAAACUGUACAAUGGAGUGUAUACUGUAACUGAGACUAUAACAUGGAAAGAGGUGUUGAUAUAAAGAGUAUUUCAUAUAUCUAUAGAGCAAAACUGCAAGUGUAAACUAGGCAGAGACUAAGGGAUGAGUAAUAAGUGAACCACCGACAAGGGAUGUUCUUGUUAAGGCCUGCAGAGAAUCAGCUAGUCAUGCCAGGCUGCUGUCUACCCUAUUUUGAACUGCAAGGUCACAUGAAAAUACAGAUGACAACUGCUCUGGAUGUUUUCCUAAAAUUCUGCUCCCGGGCUCCCAUGGUGUCUCCAGCACUGAUGCACCUCAUUACAGCCAUGCAGCCUGGCAUUAGAGGGUGAAAUCUCUUCACAUGCUGGGAGUGAUGAGAUCAGUACCGACGAUGAAGAUGAGCCAGGAUAUCUGAUGCUGCAAAAUGCCUUUGAGAGCAUCUGCCCUCUCAUCAGCACACACAACUGCUCUCCAUCUGUGCCAUUCUCCAUCCUCUGGGGCUGCAUCACCCCUUCACCAAUUAGGCCAUUAUGCUGCUGAGGACAAUUUGUAAGUAAUAUUUUUGGUGCACCUUGUUUUUCCAAUUACAUUUGUUUGCCACUUAAAAGGAAAAGAGAGAGUGAGAAAAGAAAGGAAAAAAAGUAUUUGCACUGAGUUCUUGAAACAGUUUAAAUAGAAGGCUUGGUCUCAACUUUUCCUCUUUAAUUAUCUGCUUCUGCUACUUGGAAUUUUCAGGGCUGUUUGAGCCCUGUAAUAACUUGUGUGAUUUAUAGUUAUAAUGAUUUAUUCCUGCUGGGGGGGGGGAAACCAUGCUGAUUGCUUCUCUCUUGUUUUUGCUGUGUCAUUCCCUAUGCUCACAGUAUGUAUUGCAAUGGGUUUUCUAAAAAGACAAAAAACUCCAAUCAAUAUCAUUUUCUAAAAGCAAACACUUGAUGAACACAUUGAUACACAAGCUGCUAACUAUAUCAUACGUGAAAAUAAACACACCUGUUGAGUGUAUGCAUAGAUGCUUCAGGUUUUUUCCCAGGGGAAAAAAAACGUUAUUUUCCAUAUGUCAAGAAUCUGAUGUGUUCCCUGCUAUUUUCUUGCUUAUACAGACCAAUCUACUGCAAUCUAGUAUCUUUGGGCUUUUUACUAUGCCCUAGACUGAUAGUUUCAAAGAUUUUCCCUUAAUAACUUCAAGCCAUUUUUCUGAUCAUUGCACUGGAUGAUGGGCCCACUUAGUACCCAUACUUAAGCUUGGUUGUUGGUUGGGUGUUUUUUGCUCCCAGACCAACCAGUUUGCAUUUAUACAAACUGCAAUGAUUCCAGUAGAAAAUAAAAACGACCGAAUGUGAUUUUAUGUGGCUAGUUUGUGUCCUUUGACUGAAAUUCACCCACACCUUUAGAGAGGGACAAGAAGUACAUAAUUUUGAGUGCUCAGGAGGUGGUUUUUGGUGCAUUAAGGCCCCCUGCACAAAAGGGAACUUUGCUCUUCUUUCAGUAUUAGCACUGUGCCUGCAAAUAGAAAUCAUAUUACCUUCAAUUGCAUUUACUAUGUAUCAGUGUCAGACUACUCAGGUUUGUUCUCUCUCAGGUUUGUUCUGCAUUUACAAGAGGAGGGCAGGUUUCACUACCCAGAAGAUACAUUUCUUGAUAACUUGUAGCCACCAGUAAAAAACUAACAUAAAUUAUUGGUAACUAAAAACCACAUGCAUUUGAAGUGUGGAAUGAUUUUAUCACCUCUGUCCAGUGUCUCCAGAAAUUAUCAUUGGUGAUGAUAGGAAAUAUUUGUUUCAGGGGAAAACAAACGAGCAGGUAGAGAUGGUGAACACCAGCUCUACACUCUGCUGCACAUUAACUUGUUUUCUUGUCUAGGAAUCACUCCACAGAUUGACUAGUUUUAUUUACCAGCCCUCCUAGACAGAGUUUGAAAAUGAGAAAAAAGUGUGUUACAUUUAUUUAUUAUAUUGUUUUCUUCCUUCAGUCCAAUCUCUGCAAAGCUUCUGUUUAUUUUUCUUUGUUGCCUUGUACCUGCACUUGCAGCUUGAGGCUGCUGCCUCUGACCUUUCUACAGAGAAGCCCAAACCCACGCUCUCAUGUCUCACUGCUGUGACUCUUCUGAGGAUCUGGCUGUUGAGGGAGGAGGGUCACUACCCGAAUACCAAGCACUCCCAGUUGCCACCCGGUUCCAGCAGUCUUGUAAGCUGAAGAAAUCCUCCUGUAUUUUGUGAUGUAUUUGCAAAAUCUUAGGCUUUGCCUAUUUUUCAGUGUCCUUUUUUAUUUGCCUAUGGAAUAAACCAAUUGAAAAUAUUCAAAUUAAGAAAUAAGACCUGUUGUGAGCCUAGAAAGAAAUGUAUCUGUUAAGAUCAGUAACAAUUACAUGACAAAACCUCUAUGGACAAAUUAGUAGAGUCAGCAAACAAACACUGGUUUUCAAACAGAGAUUUCUUUUUUUGGAAUUAUUUUUCCCCCUCUGAUAAUGUGCCAGCUCCUCAAGCAUAUUUCUUCACCUCCUAAUAUUUUGAAAGGCACAGUCACUGUCUCCUGCAUCUUUAGCACCCACCAAUUCCAAUCAAAAUAUCAGCAAUGAAGAUGGAUAUCCCUGUCAGGCAUGACUUCAUCUCGUAGUAGAGUAAGGAAGGCAAAGCCAGUAUCAUAAAUCACUUUCCUUCAAGGGUAUAGUCAAGUGACAUGAGAAGUUAAAGGUUUAAAAUAAAGUUUCAACUUCACCUGUCACUUUCUCUGUCACAGAAUGACAAAAUCCCAGGGGACACAGCCCAGCUUGAGGAAGGAGAAAGAGGCUGCAUGGUCUUAUAGUCCAUAUUGCCAGCUAUCUCCAGGACUAGUGCUAGUCAUGGUCCUUGGAAAUGUUCAAUGUGAUUCUAUGUUUCUAUGGCCAGGAAAAGCCAAUUUGCAGCUGUUAGUAUCUUUUCAACAGUUAUAUAAAUUCCUUAGCCUGAGAAUUUUCUCUGAUAAUGCAUGAAGGGCAAGAAUCAAAGCCCAGCAAGUCCAUGGAUCACAUCUCAGUAGGCUUUGAUUCUCUUUGGACAUGACACCCAGCUGCAAAAUGAAAGGGGAGAGCUGCACAGAAUAUUCAAGAAUACUAUAGAAAGGAGGAUAGGGAGGGAGGGCUGGCUGGAAAUACCCAGCACUUUUUCAGGUCUGUAAAAACAGAUGACAAACAAAAAAUAAAGCAGCUGCCAGAAUGACCUUCCAACCCAAAAUGUUUCCCUGCAUCAGUCCUAACAAAAAGGACUUGUAGUAGGUCUCCAGUAGUCUCUUUGAGCAAGCCAAAAACCAAUUCUUCAUCUUCUAAAUCCAUGGGGGCUUUUUCAGCCUUAAGAAUGGCCAGUGUGCUUUUGGGGUUGGUUUCCCAACAGUGGAAAGAAACCAGUGAUUACUGAAAUUUAAACUGUAAAUGCUGUAGAAAAUCUGUUAUCCAAACUGUGACUCUUCUGCUUUAUUACUAAUCACUGCAACACUGCCUUUGAGUCUCAAAUUUAUUUACUGACCAAAAGGCCUCUGUAAUUAAGCCAUGAUUUUGCUCCAGCAGGUGACCCUAGGUUAAAAAAAGAAAAAAAAAAGAAAAAAAAAAAAAAAAAAAAAAAAAAAAAAAAAGGGAAAUAAAGGCAUCACAUGAUUCCACAUAACUGCAAAUGAUAUCUUCAACUAACCUCAUACAACAUCAUGAAUUGUCAGUGAGAUUGCAGGGAUCUGGAAGGUGGAUUUGGACUGCAGAACCAUAAAUCCUAUGGGACAGCAGCUAGAAAAACACCAGUCAACUUGCACAGCCCAAGCCAAGCUGCAGAGCUGAUAGGUACAGCUAAAUCAUGCUGUAAAUGUAUAAAGUGAAAAUAUGUUCCAGAUGGUGUGUUCUUCCCCUUAAAUCCUCUCAGGUCUCACCUGGGGAUAUGAGUAUCUCUAGACACAGUCAUAAAAAAAGAGGCAAUACCUAAGAAAAGAAGUCUAGUAAACAAAAAAAAAAAAAAAAAUGAGACAUACUUGUGUGGUUUACUGGAAAAAUCCUAAACUUUGCAUAUGUAUUUUUCUUUGGUUAUCAAUAGCCUAUUCUUCUCUAAUUUCAUAACCUAAGCAAGAAGGGAACAAAUCAAACAAAUGUUGUCAUAAAAAGUCAAAGACAUUUUAUGCUUUGCUAAGAGCCCAUUGCUGAAAUGUCUGAUGUUAGAAACAAUAGAGUAAAAGAUUUAAAUGACUAACAGCUAUUUUAGAAUAAAUGUGUCUUGCAAAAGUUGCAUACACAGUGAGAAAAUAAAAAUUAGGGAAAAUUGCUCAAAUAAAAAGCAUAAAAUGUGAAUUUCAUUAGAUUACAACAUGUAGGCCAGCAUAUUUUAUCUGCUAUUGCUCUAUUUGGCUUAAAACCCAGAAGUAUUUAGGAUAAUUAUAAUUACUACCAGUAAGAAUUUCCAUGGUUGGGGAAACAUUAAUAUUUCAACAUUGGUUUUCAUGCUGAAUCAAAAUUUUAAAAAAUCAAA
Molecule: long non-coding RNA, 11329 nt
Organism: Serinus canaria (Common canary)
Lineage: Eukaryota; Metazoa; Chordata; Aves; Passeriformes; Fringillidae
Exons: 3
Source: RefSeq, a predicted model, not a curated record